GAUGAACGCUGGCGGCGUGCCUAAUACAUGCGAGUCGAGCGAACAGAUGAGGAGUUUGCUCCUCUGACGUUAGCGGCGGACGGGUGAGUAACACGUGGAUAACCUACCUAUAAGACUGGGAUAACUUCGGGAAACCGGAGCUAAUACCGGAUAAUAUAUUGAACCGCAUGGUUCAAUAGUGAAAGACGGUUUUGCUGUCACUUAUAGAUGGAUCCGCGCCGCAUUAGCUAGUUGGUAAGGUAACGGCUUACCAAGGCAACGAUGCGUCGCCGACCUGAGAGGGGGAUCGGCCACACUGGAACUGAACCACGGUCCAGACUCCUACGGGAGGCAGCAGAAGGGAAUCUUCCGCAAUGGGCGAAAGCCUGACGGAGCAACGCCGCGUGAGUGAUGAAGGUCUUCGGAUCGUAAAACUCUGUUAUUAGGGAAGAACAAAUGUGUAAGUAACUAUGCACGUCUUGACGGUACCUAAUCAGAAAGCCACGGCUAACUACGUG
RNAcentral lists this ribosomal RNA (497 nucleotides) under uncultured bacterium. RNAcentral's name for it is "partial 16S ribosomal RNA". It matches the Rfam family "Bacterial small subunit ribosomal RNA", at positions 28 to 507 of the family's 1533-position model. The record is from RNAcentral.